Molecule: unclassified non-coding RNA, 324 nt
Filed under: soil metagenome
Description: partial contains 5.8S ribosomal RNA, internal transcribed spacer 2, and large subunit ribosomal RNA
Rfam family: 5.8S ribosomal RNA (bases 1-120)
Source: RNAcentral
GAUGAAGAACGUAGCGAAAUGCGAUAAGUAAUGCGAAUUGCAGAAUUCAGUGAGUCAUCGAAUCUUUGAACGCACAUUGCGCCCUGUGGUAUUCCGCAGGGCAUGCCUGUUCGAGCGUCAUUUCAACCCUCAAGCCUCGCUUGGUGUUGGGCCCUGCCCGCCGCGGCCGGCCCUAAAGAUAGUGGCGGCGCCGCCUGGCCCUCAGCGUAGUACAGCUCUCGCUCCAGGGUCCGGCGGCAGCUUGCCAGAACCCCCCAACUCUGUGGUUGACCUCGGAUCAGGUAGGGAUACCCGCUGAACUUAAGCAUAUCAAUAAGCGGAGGA